Molecule: microRNA precursor, 103 nt
Filed under: Marmota monax (woodchuck)
Lineage: Eukaryota; Metazoa; Chordata; Mammalia; Rodentia; Sciuridae
Source: RNAcentral
AGUGUGAUAGCUGGGUCAAAUGGUAGUUUUAUUCCAAGUUUUAUAAGGAAUCUCCAUACUACUUUCCAUAUUGGCUGCACCAAUUUGCAGUACUACCAGCAAU